GUCAUGUGUAGCCCUGCUUCUACUUUUUUUUUUUCAUGAGAAAACUGGAGAGCCAGUGAUUGAAUUAAUAUCCUUGGAGGGGUAUAAGUAUAAAUAUCAUCAAUUAUCAAUGAAUUACAAUUCAAGCCGCCCUUCAAGAUUCAGAUUAAUACAACGUACUCAAACCAGAAGAAGAAGAAGAAGAAGAAGUAGAAGCAGGGCUACACAUGACAUGAACACAGGAUGAGGAUUUCAGAUGGAACAGAGUAAUUAAAAAAAAAAAAAAACACUAAAUUAAGCGACUCCUCGCCGAACUUACGUCAUGUUUCGAGGAGGUACACUGCAGAUGACCAUGAGAGCGAGAGCAAUAACAAGCGCCAUCAAAAGUCCUGUGAAGUCAACGCCAUCGCCGUCGCUUAGCUCCGAGCAAACCAUUUUUCCCAUCUUCGUCGCAAGUCGCAACAAUAUAUGCUUGCUUUUCUCCUUUCCUUU
RNAcentral lists this unclassified non-coding RNA (471 nucleotides) under Hevea brasiliensis (rubber tree). The record is from RNAcentral. Lineage: Eukaryota; Viridiplantae; Streptophyta; Magnoliopsida; Malpighiales; Euphorbiaceae.